UGGUGGAGUGAUUUGUCUGGUUAAUUCCGUUAACGAACGAGACCUCGACCUACUAAAUAGUUCGACGAAUUCUUCGGAAUUCGUACGUAACUUCUUAGAGGGACUAUCGGUGGUUAGCCGAUGGAAGUUCGAGGCAAUAACA
RNAcentral lists this ribosomal RNA (142 nucleotides) under uncultured eukaryote. RNAcentral describes it as "partial 18S ribosomal RNA". It matches the Rfam family "Eukaryotic small subunit ribosomal RNA", at positions 1299 to 1458 of the family's 1831-position model. The record is from RNAcentral.